UGUUGAGUUAGGUUUAGGGAUAGAUUUAAAGCUUUGGUUAGGGUUAAGAUUAAGUUUUAUGGUUGAUUCAUGGCUGAGUUUAGGUUUGGGGUUGGGUUUAGGUGUUGAGUUAGGUUUAGGGUUAGAUUUAAAUAUUUGGAUCGGGUUAGGGUUAAGUUUUAGAGUUGAUUCAUGGCUGAGUUUAGGUCUAGGGUUAAGUUUAGAUGUUGAGUUAGGUUUAGGGUUAGAUUUAAAUAUUUGGAUCGGGUUAGGGUUAAGUUUUAGAGUUGAUUCAUGGCUGAGUUUAGGUUUAGGGUUGGGUUUAGGUGUUGGGUUAGAUUUAGGGUUAGAUUUAAAGCUUUGGUUAGGGUUAGGGUUA
Molecule: long non-coding RNA, 358 nt
Organism: Astyanax mexicanus (Mexican tetra)
Lineage: Eukaryota; Metazoa; Chordata; Actinopteri; Characiformes; Acestrorhamphidae
Exons: 4
Source: RefSeq, a predicted model, not a curated record